GAUGAACGCUAGCUACAGGCUUAACACAUGCAAGUCGAGGGGUAACAAGAGGAAAGCUUGCUUUUCUUGUUGACGACCGGCGCACGGGUGAGUAACGCGUAUCCAACCUGCCUAUAACUAGGGAAUAACCUUGCGAAAGUAAGACUAAUACCCUAUGAUUUCCUUUGAUGACAUCAGAUUAGGAAUAAAGAUUUAUCGGUUAUAGAUGGGGAUGCGUCUGAUUAGCUUGUUGGCGGGGUAACGGCCCACCAAGGCAACGAUCAGUAGGGGUUCUGAGAGGAAGGUCCCCCACAUUGGAACUGAGGCACGGUCCAAACUCCUACGGGAGGCAGCAGUGAGGAAUAUUGGUCAAUGGGCGGAAGCCUGAACCAGCCAUGUAGCGUGCAGGAUGACGGCCCUAUGGGUUGUAAACUGCUUUUAUACAGGAAUAAAGUUAGCCACGUGUGGUUAUUUGUAGGUACUGUAUGAAUAAGGACCGGCUAAUUCCGUGCCAGCCGCCGCAGUAA
This 506-nucleotide ribosomal RNA is filed under the name uncultured bacterium. RNAcentral describes it as "partial 16S ribosomal RNA". It matches the Rfam family "Bacterial small subunit ribosomal RNA", at positions 28 to 523 of the family's 1533-position model. The record is from RNAcentral.